CCUACGGGUGGCAGCAGUGAGGAAUAUUGGUCAAUGGUCGGGAGACUGAACCAGCCAAGCCGCGUGAGGGAUGAAGGUACAGAGUAUCGUAAACCUCUUUUGUCAGGGAACAAAGGCGGGGACGUGUCCCCGGAUGAGUGUACCUGAAGAAAAAGCAUCGGCUAACUCCGUGCCAGCAGCCGCGGUAAUACGGAGGAUGCGAGCGUUAUCCGGAUUUAUUGGGUUUAAAGGGUGCGCUGGCGGUCUGUUAAGUCAGCGGUAAAAGCCCGGGGCACAACCCCGCCCCGCCGUUGAAACUGGCAGUCUCGAGUUGGAGAGAAGUAUGCGGAAUGCGCGGUGUAGCGGUGAAAUGCAUAGAUAUCGCGCAGAACUCCGAUUGCGAAGGCAGCAUGCCGGCUCCACACUGACGCUGAGGCACGAAAGCGUGGGUAUCGAACAGGAUUAGAUACCCCAGUAGUC
This 459-nucleotide ribosomal RNA is filed under the name uncultured bacterium. RNAcentral's name for it is "partial 16S ribosomal RNA". It matches the Rfam family "Bacterial small subunit ribosomal RNA", at positions 338 to 795 of the family's 1533-position model. The record is from RNAcentral.